Molecule: ribosomal RNA, 443 nt
Filed under: uncultured bacterium
Lineage: Bacteria
Description: partial 16S ribosomal RNA
Rfam family: Bacterial small subunit ribosomal RNA
Source: RNAcentral
CCUACGGGAGGCAGCAGUGGGGAAUAUUGGGCAAUGGGCGCAAGCCUGACCCAGCAACGCCGCGUGAAGGAAGAAGGCUCUCGGGUUGUAAACUUCUUUUGUCAGGGACGAAACAAAUGACGGUACCUGACGAAUAAGCCACGGCUAACUACGUGCCAGCAGCCGCGGUAAUACGUAGGUGGCAAGCGUUCUCCGGAUUUACUGGGUGUAAAGGGCGUGUAGGCGGGAGAGCAAGUCAGAUGUGAGAUUCCAGGGCUCAACCCUGGAACUGUAUUUGAGACUGUUUUUCUUGUGUGUGGGAGAGGCAGGCGGAAAUUGGUGGGUAGCGGUGAGAUGCGUAGAGAUACGGGGGAAAACCAGUGGCGAAGGCGGCCUGCGGGACAUUAACUGACGCUGAGGCGCGAAAGCGUGGGGAGCAAACAGGAUUAGAUACCCCAGUAGUC